AGUAAAUAGAUACCCAGGUAGUCCACGCUGUAAACUAUGCGUGCUGGACGUUGGCCAGCCUAGCUGGUCGGUGUCGUAGCUAACGCGAUAAGCACGCCGCCUGGGGAGUACGGUCGCAAGAUUAAAACUCAAAGGAAUUGACGGGGGCCCGGCACAAGCGGUGGAGCAUGUGGUUUAAUUCGAUGCAACGCGAAGAACCUUACCAGGCCUUGACAUGGGGGUUUUGGGUCGGAGAAAUCUGACCCUUCAUUUAGUUGGGUCCCCGACCACAGGUGCUGCAUGGCUGUCGUCAGCUCGUGUCGUGAGAUGUUGGGUUAAGUCCCGCAACGAGCGCAACCCUCACCUUCAGUUGCCAGCGGUUCGGCCGGGCGACUCUGAAGGAACUGCCGGUGACAAGCCGGAGGAAGGCGGGGAGUGACGUCAAGUCCUCAUGGCCCUUACGGCCUGGGCUACACACGUGCUACAAUGGUGGUGACAAUGGGAUGCAAAGGCGCGAGCCCGAGCCGAUCUCAAAAACGACCAUCUCAGUUCAGAUU
Molecule: ribosomal RNA, 536 nt
Filed under: uncultured bacterium
Lineage: Bacteria
Description: bacterial SSU rRNA
Rfam family: Bacterial small subunit ribosomal RNA
Source: RNAcentral